GAACCAACAGUUUUCCAGUUCCGAAGAUCAUUGAGGAUGACGUGGGUUGAUUUUGUUGGACAAAUAGGAGGACUUCUUGGACUUUGUAUAGGGUUCAGUCUUUUAUCUGGAGUUGAGAUAUUUUACUGGUUUACCCUACGCUUGUCGCAGAGGAA
This is a long non-coding RNA of Eurytemora carolleeae, 155 nucleotides long. RefSeq lists it as uncharacterized. The transcript has 3 exons. The record is from RefSeq and is a predicted model, not a curated record. NCBI's taxonomy places the organism in Eukaryota, Metazoa, Arthropoda, Copepoda, Calanoida, Temoridae.